RNAcentral lists this ribosomal RNA (274 nucleotides) under uncultured bacterium. Its description in RNAcentral is "partial 16S ribosomal RNA". It matches the Rfam family "Bacterial small subunit ribosomal RNA", at positions 523 to 796 of the family's 1533-position model. The record is from RNAcentral.
AGACGGGGGGGGCGAGCGUUGUUCGGAAUUACUGGGCGUAAAGGGCGCGCAGGCGGCCUGGGAAGUCUUGGGUGAAAGCCCCCAGCUCAACUGGGGAAUGGCCUGAGAAACCACUAGGCUGGAGUGCUGGAGAGGGAAGCGGAAUUCCCGGUGGAGCGGUGAAAUGCGUAGAUAUCGGGAGGAACACCAGAGGCGAAGGCGGCUUCCUGGACAGACACUGACGCUGAGGCGCGAAAGCUAGGGGAGCAAACGGGAUUAGAAACCCCAGUAGUCC